CACGUAAUCAAGCUACCUGGCAGACGGGGAUAACUUCGGGAAACCGAUCGUAAACCCGAUAGCCUCACGACAUCGCAUGGUGAUGUGAGUAAAUGGACGGGACCCUCCGGGGCCGUCUGCUGCCAGAGGUGAUUGCGGCCCAUCAGCUUGUUGGUAGGGUAAUGGCCUACCAAGGCUACGACGGGUAGCCGGCCUAAGAGGGUGGCCGGUCGCACUGGGACUGAGACACUGCCCAGACUCCUACGGGAGGCUGCAGUCGAGAAUCUUCCGCAAUGGACGAAAGUCUGACGGAGCGACGCC
RNAcentral lists this ribosomal RNA (300 nucleotides) under uncultured Planctomycetota bacterium. RNAcentral describes it as "bacterial SSU rRNA". It matches the Rfam family "Bacterial small subunit ribosomal RNA", at positions 114 to 398 of the family's 1533-position model. The record is from RNAcentral. Lineage: Bacteria; Pseudomonadati; Planctomycetota.